RNAcentral lists this non-coding RNA (93 nucleotides) under Paenibacillus lactis. Its description in RNAcentral is "Cyclic di-GMP-I riboswitch". It matches the Rfam family "c-di-GMP-I riboswitch aptamer". Rfam says of the family: GEMM was predicted in a large-scale screen for bacterial structured RNA regulatory elements. Genes associated with GEMM are involved in a diverse array of functions, including chemotaxis regulation, signal transduction, secretion and chitin. Lineage: Bacteria; Bacillati; Bacillota; Bacilli; Caryophanales; Paenibacillaceae. The record is from RNAcentral.
ACGACAAUAGCAAACCCACCGAAAGGUGGCGACGCAAAGCUAUAGGGGCUAAUGCGGGACCUACUGCAACCGCAAUGCCAGCCAGUUGCCGAA